AACGCUGGCGGCGUGCCUAACACAUGCAAGUCGAACGAGAAAGUGGGGGCAACUCCAUGAGUAAAGUGGCAGACGGGUGAGUAACACGUGAACAACCUACCCUCGAGUGUGGAAUAACACCGCGAAAGCGGUGCUAAUACCGCAUAACAUCUACGGAUCGCAUGAUCUGGAGAUCAAAAGCGCAAGUUGCUUGAGGAGGGGUUCGCGCCUGAUUAGCUAGUUGGUGAGGUAACGGCCCACCAAGGCAACGAUCAGUAGCCGGCCUGAGAGGGCGAACGGCCACACUGGAACUGCGACACGGUCCAGACUCCUACGGGAGGCAGCAGUGGGGAAUUUUGCGCAAUGGGCGAAAGCCUGACGCAGCAACGCCGCUUGGAGGAUGAAGGCCUUCGGGUCGUAAACUCCUGUCAGUGGGGACGAAUGCUUCGCAAGAAGUUUGACUGUACCCGCUGAGGAAGCCACGGCUAACUCCGUGCCAGCAGCCGCGGUAAUACGGAGGUGGCAAGCGUUGUUCGGAAUUACUGGGCGUAAAGGGCGCGUAGGCGGCUUGGCAAGUCAGAUGUGAAAGCCCCGGGCUUAACUCGGGAAUUGCAUCUGAAACUGCUGAGCUUGAGUCCUGGAUGGGAUAGUGGAAUUCCCAGUGUAGCGGUGAAAUGCGUAGAUAUUGGGAGGAACACCUGCGGCGAAGGCGGCUAUCUGGACAGUGACUGACGCUGAGGCGCGAAAGCUAGGGGAGCGAACGGGAUUAGAUACCCCGGUAGUCCUAGCUGUAAACGAUGGGCACUUGGUGUUGGGGGUAUUGAGUCCCUCGGUGCCGGAGUUAACACGUUAAGUGCCCCGCCUGGGGAGUACGGUCGCAAGA
RNAcentral lists this ribosomal RNA (862 nucleotides) under uncultured bacterium. RNAcentral's name for it is "bacterial SSU rRNA". It matches the Rfam family "Bacterial small subunit ribosomal RNA", at positions 32 to 893 of the family's 1533-position model. The record is from RNAcentral.